RNAcentral lists this long non-coding RNA (1754 nucleotides) under Sus scrofa (pig). RNAcentral describes it as "lncRNA (ENSSSCG00015029482.1)". Lineage: Eukaryota; Metazoa; Chordata; Mammalia; Artiodactyla; Suidae. The record is from RNAcentral.
GGGGAUGCCCUGAGGAUUUGGGAUAGACAUGCUGUAAAAUUUGGUUGUGAUGAUUGUUGUACACCAAUAAAUGUAAUAAAAUUCAUUAAGUAUUAAAAAAUAAAUUAAUUAAAGAAGUUAUAACAAUCAUACAAAAAACUAGCAGUUCCCGUCAUGGCAGAUCAGAAACAACUCCGACUAGGAGCCAUGAGGUUGCAGGUUUGAUCCUUGGCCUCACUCACUGGGUUUAGGAUCCAUCGUUGCCAUGAGCUGGGGUGAAGGUCACAGAUAAGGCUCCGAUCCCCCAUUGCUGUGGCUAUGGUGUAGGCCAGCAGCUGUAACUCUGAUGGGACCCCUAGCCUGAGAACAUCCUUAUGCCUUGGUUUCGGCCCUAAAAAGCAAAAGGAAAAAAAAAACAAAAACUAUUUCUUACUAAAGAACUAUUAAACAUUUCACCAUGUUUGCUUUAUCAUUUUCUCUCUUUCUCUCCAUAUAUACACUUACAUUUUUCCUGAACCAUGUGAGAGUAAGUUGCCAUAGUAAUGCCCCUUGACCCCUAAAUGCUUCAGUGUACAAAUAUUAAAAUCGAAUAAUUAACAGGGAUACAUACUGUUAGCUAUAGACUAUUUAUAGAUUUUCUAAUUGUCAUAAUAAUGUCAUUUACAAGAAAAACAAUCAGAUCAUGUCACAUUCAAAUGUUACGAAUACACAUUUUGUAUGUAACGUUACAAAGGAAUUUAUCAUUUCAAACUAAGAAACAAAGCAAAAAUAAAGAAGGAAACAAAACAAAAAGCACUAAAAAUACCAACAACUACUACAACAUUGGAAAGGAAAAGGAAGCAAGCUUUUAGAUAAACAGAAAUUCGGACAAUUCCAUGACAAGAAUAACUGUAAUUUUAAUCUCCUCCAAGUUAGGCCAUGCUUUGCUUUUGUUCAAAAAAACUACUUCACCCAGACUUCAACUGGAUUUCACAAGUUUAGUUCUGUUUCUGUGAGACAGAUUUUUCUGAAGUAUCUUUAUGUCCCUCCUAUAAAAAUGACCUAUCUGUUAUUCAAUGUGAGAACAAUUUUAAUACCACGUUCCUGAAUUUCAGCUGACCCCAAAGGAAUCAAAAAAACUGACGUCCAACAAAAAAAAUUUUAGUUACAGGGAAACUCCAUAUUAAGUGACUAUAACAGUGUUACAAUGUACUUUGGGCCAAGGUAGCAACUGCAGAUUUCUCAUAAAAGAAAAAAGGCACACAUUAGCCAGGAGAAUAAAAAUGAAUGCAAAGAAUGCUGCUAGUACAAAAAGUGACAAAAUAUGAAAUGCUCUAUAUGUAAUAAGUGUGCAACAGCAGUCUCUCAACAGCACUUACAGCAAACUGUUUUUACUCUGUUCCACAUUUUAUGAACCAAGCCACUACAUAUGUCAGCUGGAACAUGUACGCAGAAAAGCCCUGUGCUGAGUGGUUACCCAAAGGGGUCGGGAGGCCCAUGUUUAAGGAAUUAGUAAUAGGGUGGAACUCAGCUAUGCAAGAAUCCCAAAAGCAAAGUGCAUGCAAAACAUGUGACCACAUUUCAGCCAAAGUCCACACUCUGAGCCUAAUGAACUGGGAGGCCUCUACGUCAAUCAACAUUCUUCUGUCAGUGUUUCCAAAGAGUCACAGGGCCAAGGAGGCCCAUCAGCCAGGCCUGGGAGCCCAAGUGAAGAUAGGACAGCACAGACAAGGAAGGGUAUUAUCAAGGAACGUAGGCAGCAAGAGGCCAGGCUGUGAAAGCUCUAAACGCACAGC